GAUUUUUCCCCCCUCUUACCCUUAGACAAAAUUGAUGCUUAGCAUCCCGCCACCUAGAGAUAACUAUUUCCUGGUUUCUGUCCAUUCAAAUUAUGUCUGUACGUUUUCUUUAUUAAACGGAAAUUGUUGGGGUGCCUGGGUAGCUCAGUGGUUGAGCUCUGACUCGGGGGUCUGACUCGGGGGUCCUGGGAUCCCCGCAGGGAGCCUGCUCCUCCCUCUGCCUAGGUCUCUGCCUCUCUCUCUCUUAUGAAUAAACAAAAUCUUUUUAAAAAAUCACUAACUGUAUAAAAAAAUAAACAGAAAUUGUUUUAUAAACUGCCCCACUUACUAUGUAGUGAACGUCUUCUGUGUAUCGUUAAGUAUUUUAUAAAAUGACUUUAAACGCGCGCAUUAAAUUCCGCUCAAAGGAUGUACCAGGAGUUGGAAUCGAUGGCGUCCUGUUGGCCACUUCGGUAGCUUCCAAUUUUUCAAUAUUGCAAAGAGCUGUGCCAAACAUCUGUGUGGAUAAAUAUUUGCCUACAUCCCGGAUUGUUUUUCAUUCGAAUCGAUUUCUAGACGCAAACUAAUGGCACCAAACAGGGAAGGAAUGGAAAGAUUUAGAAGGGCCCAGGUGUGCUGACAGCACAGCGACCGCGCCACGGCGGAGACCCGGACAGAGGCUGAGACCUCCACGGUGGCUACCGUUAUUACUUUCCUGAUUUAUCCUCUGGCUUUCUCCCAGACCCCCCUCACCCCCCAAUUAUUAUUCAGAGCUUUCUCGGAGAAAGCCGGGCCCGGAUUUCCCCGGGACAGCCAGUGGUUUCCCAGGUAGGGACGACCGAGCCAGCCCAGAGGCUCAGCUUCGGGAGUCGGGGUGGAAGGGCUGGAGGGAACAGGCGCACACGGGGUCCAGAUCCAGCUUGAGGGUGGAAGCCUCCCCUCCAGGUGACCUCCAGGGCCCGGCCCCUCCGCAUCCCCCCCAUGCAUGGGCGUGUCAAGGGGGGGUCGUGACAAUGGCCUUGAUGACUGGUGGCCCUCCUCUGAGCCUCUGGCCGUGGGACCCCCGCAGUCUCCCCCUUCCUCCUCCUUCCUCUCCCUCCCAACACCUUCGGACCUCCUCCUCCCCUCCACCCCGGCUGCCGGGGCCCCGCACCCGGACUAAGAAGGAAGAGCUACAGUGA
Molecule: long non-coding RNA, 1160 nt
Filed under: Canis lupus familiaris (dog)
Lineage: Eukaryota; Metazoa; Chordata; Mammalia; Carnivora; Canidae
Description: lncRNA (ENSCAFG00040023265.1)
Source: RNAcentral